Molecule: ribosomal RNA, 368 nt
Filed under: uncultured bacterium
Lineage: Bacteria
Description: bacterial SSU rRNA
Rfam family: Bacterial small subunit ribosomal RNA
Source: RNAcentral
GGAGGGUGCGAGCGUUGUCCGGAUUUAUUGGGUUUAAAGGGUGCGUAGGCUGGGAGGUAAGUCAGCGGUGAAAAGCACACGCUUAACGGGUGUCUUGCCGCAGAUACUACUUUUCUUGGAUGAGGAGGAGGUCACUGGAACGGAUGGUGUAGCGGUGAAAUGCAUAGAUAUCAUCCAGAACACCGAUUGCGAAGGCAGGUGACUGUACCUUAAUCGACGCUGAGGCACGAAAGCGUGGGGAGCGAACAGGAUUAGAUACCCUGGUAGUCCACGCCGUAAACGAUGAGGACUAGCUGUUGGGCCUAUAGGGUUCAGUGGCAAAGGAAAACCGUUAAGUCCUCCACCUGGGGAGUACGCCGGCCACGGUG